UUGGUUCAGAAGUUACGUUCAUCGACGUUUGUUAUGGCAGCAUCAGAAGCAGCAGCCAGCGGGCUUAACAAGGGUGUGACGUCUGCUCUGCUGAAAACGACCGGUCGUUGAGUUUAUGAUGGGCUCCAGCGGAUGAUUGCACCUUGGCAAAGAUAGAGAAACGACAAGCCAUCAAUAAGGCGGAGUCUGCUGAAACGCACCUCAACCGGCACAGAUCAAACCCAUUCAUCUGUCUCAGUUUCGCAACUCGGUCAACCAUCUAAUCUUGCAUCCGUCGGUAAUCCAUCAACUUCGAAGGCCCAUCAUAGGAGUGCAACAGCUGUGACCAAUACCGAUAAUGAGAAAUAUCGGUUUUCUAAUCACCAGCUUCCUGUCGAUUGCGUUUGCACCUCACCAAGAGGUAGGUAUUGUUCUACGGAAAGGAAUGUGCUGUCUUGCCGUUAUCGAGCCGGAGCAUCGAAUGUCACUUGCCAUUCCAUCAUCUUGGAAACAUGAGCGAUUAACUUUGUCAGUGGUAGGUCAGCUUCUUCAGACGAUGCUACUUACGUAGGAUGGUGGCUGACGCAAAUGAGUUUGCUGAUACCGGUUUGGUAACUUGAGUUCUAUAACAAAUUGCAGAAAGUCUGAACACAUGUAGCUAUGGACACAUGAGAAAUAUAACAGUAGUUUAAAAACACAA
Long non-coding RNA from Aedes aegypti (yellow fever mosquito), 679 nucleotides. RefSeq lists it as uncharacterized. NCBI's taxonomy places the organism in Eukaryota, Metazoa, Arthropoda, Insecta, Diptera, Culicidae. The transcript is spliced from 2 exons. The record is from RefSeq and is a predicted model, not a curated record.